Molecule: ribosomal RNA, 254 nt
Filed under: uncultured bacterium
Lineage: Bacteria
Description: partial 16S ribosomal RNA
Rfam family: Bacterial small subunit ribosomal RNA
Source: RNAcentral
UACGUAGGGUGCUAGCGUUGUCCGGACUUAUUGGGCGUAAAGGGCUCGUAGGCGGCGUGUCGCGUCGGGAGUGAAAGCCCGCUGCUUAACGGCGGGUUGGCUUCCGGUACGGGCAUCGCUGGAGUGCGGCAGGGGAGACUGGAAUUCCUGGUGUAGCGGUGGAAUGCGCAGAUAUCAGGAGGAACACCGGUGGCGAAGGCGGGUCCCUGGGCCGUUACUGACGCUGAGGAGCGAAAGCGUGGGGAGCGAACAGG